GGAGUUUGGACCGUGUCUCAGUUCCAAUGUGGGGGACCUUCCUCUCAGAACCCCUACUGAUCGUCGGCUUGGUGGGCCGUUACCCCACCAACUACCUAAUCAGAAGCGUGCUCACCCAUAGUCCUUGCGUUUCAAAUCAAGAUCAUGCGGUCUCGAUUCACAUGGAGUGUUAAUUCAGCUUUCGCUGGGCUAUCCCCCGACUAUGGACAGAUUGCACACCUGUUACGCACCCGUGCGCCGGUCGCCACCAAAGAAAGCAAGCUUCCUUCGUGCUGCCCCUCGACUUGCAUGUGUUAGGCCUGUCGCUAGCGUUCAUC
RNAcentral lists this ribosomal RNA (317 nucleotides) under uncultured Paludibacter sp. RNAcentral's name for it is "partial 16S ribosomal RNA". The record is from RNAcentral. Lineage: Bacteria; Pseudomonadati; Bacteroidota; Bacteroidia; Bacteroidales; Paludibacteraceae.